AUACGGAGGGGACUAGCGUUGUUCGGAAUUACUGGGCGUAAAGCGUACGUAGGCGGAUCAGAAAGUAUGGGGUGAAAUCCCAGGGCUCAACCCUGGAACUGCCUCAUAAACUCCUGGUCUUGAGUUCGAGAGAGGUGAGUGGAAUUCCGAGUGUAGAGGUGAAAUUCGUAGAUAUUCGGAGGAACACCAGUGGCGAAGGCGGCUCACUGGCUCGAUACUGACGCUGAGGUACGAAAGUGUGGGGAGCAAACAGGAUUAGAAACCCGGGUAGUCC
This 274-nucleotide ribosomal RNA is filed under the name uncultured bacterium. RNAcentral's name for it is "partial 16S ribosomal RNA". It matches the Rfam family "Bacterial small subunit ribosomal RNA", at positions 523 to 796 of the family's 1533-position model. The record is from RNAcentral.